AGCGAACGCUGGCGGCAGGCUUAACACAUGCAAGUCGAGCGGGCACUUCGGUGUCAGCGGCGGACGGGUGAGUAACGCGUGGGAACGUGCCCUCUGGUUCGGAAUAACUCAGGGAAACUUGAGCUAAUACCGGAUACGCCCUUUUUGGGGAAAGGCUUGCUGCCGGAGGAUCGGCCCGCGUCUGAUUAGCUAGUUGGUGGGGUAACGGCCUACCAAGGCGACGAUCAGUAGCUGGUCUGAGAGGAUGAUCAGCCACACUGGGACUGAGACACGGCCCAGACUCCUACGGGAGGCAGCAGUGGGGAAUAUUGGACAAUGGGGGCAACCCUGAUCCAGCCAUGCCGCGUGAGUGAUGAAGGCCUUAGGGUUGUAAAGCUCUUUUAUCCGGGACGAUAAUGACGGUACCGGAGGAAUAAGCCCCGGCUAACUUCGUGCCAGCCGCCGCCGUAA
RNAcentral lists this ribosomal RNA (450 nucleotides) under uncultured bacterium. Its description in RNAcentral is "partial 16S ribosomal RNA". It matches the Rfam family "Bacterial small subunit ribosomal RNA", at positions 29 to 523 of the family's 1533-position model. The record is from RNAcentral.